Molecule: long non-coding RNA, 783 nt
Organism: Megalobrama amblycephala (Wuchang bream)
Lineage: Eukaryota; Metazoa; Chordata; Actinopteri; Cypriniformes; Xenocyprididae
Exons: 3
Source: RefSeq, a predicted model, not a curated record
GCUGUGUGCGAGCGAGCGAGCGAGCGAAUAAGCGCAGCAACGUAGCACAUACAUGAGAUGUCUUAUUUUGGCACAUUUGGCACAAACACACUCAAGCGUUUAUUCCAGAAGUACUUUAACAGUGAAACGAUUGUAUUUGCCUUUCGGUAAACAGCACUGAAUAAUCUUAAAUGCGCAGCGUAGCGCCUUGCCACUGGUAUUUCCAGAUAUAAUUUUUGAUAGUUAUUUUACUUAAUAUAAAGCUAAAAAUCCCCCAAAUUUCCAGCCAGCCACUGCCAUCGUGUGGUCAAUAGCGACACGGUCACGUUAGAAAUCAUGUAAACACUUUUUCUUGGGGAAAUUUCAGAGUUCAUGUUGCCUUGAAAAACCUGGAUAUAUGAGCUCAUCAGCAAUCAUCUCAGCGAUGGCCAGAGAGGAGCUUGCAGCGGGUGACGGUGCAUUGCGUACGUGCAGAACCCGGCUGCCCAGCUCCCCCUUCCCACCGUCAAACACAAAAUCAUCCACCAGGUUUCCUUCAGCAUCCAAUGCCUGUGCACGAACACCCGACGGACCCCUGCACAAACCAAGAAGCAGAAAAACAAAAUUUACAAACAGGACAGUGCGUGCAGGGCAAAAGCACUACUUGAGAGUGACUGUACAGCAAUAGAGCAGGGUAAAGGUGAGGUUUGGGUGCCUGAGGAUCAGCUCUCUGGCAGAGGCCAGUCCAACAAUCCCUCCACCAAUAACGGCCACAUCAAAUGAGCUACACAACAUAAUGGUCAAUAUUGGAUAUGUAAUCGUGCA